CGCGCAUGUGGUCGAGGUGGUCGGCGACCGUCGCCACCGUGGCGACCGGGCGCGGGUUCGACUCCUCGAAGGCGCGG
This 77-nucleotide transfer RNA is filed under the name Streptomyces albiflavescens. Its description in RNAcentral is "tRNA-Arg". Lineage: Bacteria; Bacillati; Actinomycetota; Actinomycetes; Kitasatosporales; Streptomycetaceae. The record is from RNAcentral.